RNAcentral lists this ribosomal RNA (660 nucleotides) under Halomonas sp. Its description in RNAcentral is "bacterial SSU rRNA". It matches the Rfam family "Bacterial small subunit ribosomal RNA", at positions 345 to 997 of the family's 1533-position model. Lineage: Bacteria; Pseudomonadati; Pseudomonadota; Gammaproteobacteria; Oceanospirillales; Halomonadaceae. The record is from RNAcentral.
GAGGCAGCAGUGGGGAAUAUUGGACAAUGGGCGCAAGCCUGAUCCAGCCAUGCCGCGUGUGUGAAGAAGGCUUUCGGGUUGUAAAGCACUUUCAGUGGGGAAGAAGGCCUGGCGGUCAAUACCCGCCAGGGACGACAUCACCCACAGAAGAAGCACCGGCUAACUCCGUGCCAGCAGCCGCGGUAAUACGGAGGGUGCGAGCGUUAAUCGGAAUUACUGGGCGUAAAGCGCGCGUAGGCGGCCAAGUAAGCCGGUUGUGAAAGCCCCGGGCUCAACCUGGGAAUGGCAUCCGGAACUGGUUGGCUAGAGUGCAGGAGAGGAAGGUAGAAUUCCCGGUGUAGCGGUGAAAUGCGUAGAGAUCGGGAGGAAUACCAGUGGCGAAGGCGGCCUUCUGGACUGACACUGACGCUGAGGUGCGAAAGCAUGGGUAGCAAACAGGAUUAGAUACCCUGGUAGUCCAUGCCGUAAACGAUGUCGACUAGCCGUUGGGUCCCUUGAGGACUUGGUGGCGCAGUUAACGCGAUAAGUCGACCGCCUGGGGAGUACGGCCGCAAGGUUAAAACUCAAAUGAAUUGACGGGGGCCCGCACAAGCGGUGGAGCAUGUGGUUUAAUUCGAUGCAACGCGAAGAACCUUACCUACCCUUGACAUCCUGCGAACC